RNAcentral lists this ribosomal RNA (422 nucleotides) under uncultured bacterium. RNAcentral's name for it is "SSU rRNA". It matches the Rfam family "Bacterial small subunit ribosomal RNA", at positions 369 to 808 of the family's 1533-position model. The record is from RNAcentral.
CCAUGGGGGAACCCUGAUGCAGCGACGCCGCGUGGAGGAAGAAGGUCUUCCCNAUUGUAAACUCCUGUUGUUGAGGAAGAUAAUGACGGUACUCNACAAGGAAGUGACGGCUAACUACGUGCCAGCAGCCGCGGUAAAACGUAGGUCACAAGCGUUGUCCGGAAUUACUGGGUGUAAAGGGAGCGCAGGCGGGAAGACAAGUUGGAAGUGAAAUCUAUGGGCUCAACCCAUAAACUGCUUUCAAAACUGUUUUUCUUGAGUAGUGCAGAGGUAGGCGGAAUUCCCGGUGUAGCGGUGGAAUGCGUAGAUAUCGGGAGGAACACCAGUGGCGAAGGCGGCCUACUGGGCACCAACUGACGCUGAGGCUCGAAAGUGUGGGUAGCAAACAGGAUUAGAUACCCUGGUAGUCCAAGGGCGAAUUC